RNAcentral lists this non-coding RNA (30 nucleotides) under Rattus norvegicus (Norway rat). The record is from RNAcentral. Lineage: Eukaryota; Metazoa; Chordata; Mammalia; Rodentia; Muridae.
UUCCAAUCAGUCAUAAUGACCUUAAGUGGA